This 75-nucleotide transfer RNA is filed under the name [Clostridium] scindens. RNAcentral describes it as "tRNA-Lys". It matches the Rfam family "tRNA". From Rfam's summary of the family: Transfer RNA (tRNA) molecules are approximately 80 nucleotides in length. Their secondary structure includes four short double-helical elements and three loops (D, anti-codon, and T loops). RNAcentral also lists the same sequence under 5 other names. The record is from RNAcentral. Lineage: Bacteria; Bacillati; Bacillota; Clostridia; Lachnospirales; Lachnospiraceae.
UGGGCGUGUAGCUCAGGUGGUAGAGCACUUGACUUUUAAUCAAGUUGUCCGGGGUUCGAAUCCCCGCACGCUCAG